GACAGAGGUGCCGAGCGUUAGGCGGAAUCACUGGGCUUAAAGCGUGUGUAGGCGGACUUCUAAGUACCUUGUGAAAUCCCACGGCUCAACCGUGGAACUGCUUGGUAUACUGGUUGUCUUGAGCCACUUAGGGGCAGUCGGAACAGACGGUGGAGCGGUGAAAUGCGUAGAUAUCGUCUGGAACGCCAGAGGUGAAAACAGACUGCUGGGAGGGUGCUGACGCUGAGACACGAAAGCCAGGGGAGCAAACGGG
RNAcentral lists this ribosomal RNA (253 nucleotides) under uncultured bacterium. RNAcentral describes it as "partial 16S ribosomal RNA". It matches the Rfam family "Bacterial small subunit ribosomal RNA", at positions 524 to 776 of the family's 1533-position model. The record is from RNAcentral.